RNAcentral lists this unclassified non-coding RNA (329 nucleotides) under soil metagenome. Its description in RNAcentral is "partial contains 5.8S ribosomal RNA, internal transcribed spacer 2, and large subunit ribosomal RNA". The stretch from base 1 to 120 matches the Rfam family "5.8S ribosomal RNA", at positions 35 to 154 of the family's 154-position model. The record is from RNAcentral.
GAUGAAGAACGUAGUGAAAUGUGAUAAUUAAUGUGAAUUGCAGAAUUCAGUGAAUCAUCGAAUCUUUGAACGCACAUUGCGCCCCUUGGUAUUCCGAGGGGCAUGCCUGUUCGAGCGUCAUUAUAACCCCUCAAGCUCAGCUUGGUGUUGGGGCCUGCUGCACUGGCAGCCCUUAAAAUCAGUGGCGGCGCCAUCUGGCUCUAAGCGUAGUAAUUCUUCUCGCUAUGGAGUCCUGGUGGAUGCUUGCCAUCAACCCCCAAUUUUUCUAUGGUUGACCUCGGAUCAGGUAGGGAUACCCGCUGAACUUAAGCAUAUCAAUAAGCGGAGGA